GUGAGGAAUUUUCCGCAAUGGGCGAAAGCCUGACGGAGCAAUGCCGCGUGAAGGAUGAAGGCCUAUGGGUUGUAAACUUCUUUUCUCAGAAAAGAAUUAUGACGGUAUCUGAGGAAUAAGCAUCGGCUAACUCUGUGCCAGCAGCCGCGGUAAGACAGAGGAUGCAAGCGUUAUCCGGAAUGAUUGGGCGUAAAGCGUCUGUAGGUUGUUUAAAAAGUAUUCUGUCAAAGAUUAGGGCUUAACCCGAGAUAGUCAGAAUAAACUUUUAAGCUAGAGUUUGGUAGAGGCAGAGGGAAUUCCCGGUGGAGCGGUGAAAUGCGUAGAUAUCGGGAGGAACACCAAAGGCGAAGGCACUCUGCUGGGCCAAUACUAACACUGAGAGACGAAAGCGAGGGGAGCAAAUGGGAUUAGAAACCCUAGUAGUCC
RNAcentral lists this ribosomal RNA (426 nucleotides) under uncultured bacterium. Its description in RNAcentral is "partial 16S ribosomal RNA". It matches the Rfam family "Bacterial small subunit ribosomal RNA", at positions 354 to 796 of the family's 1533-position model. The record is from RNAcentral.